RNA transcript from Cydia strobilella, 6890 nucleotides. RefSeq lists it as uncharacterized. The transcript has 11 exons. The record is from RefSeq and is a predicted model, not a curated record. NCBI's taxonomy places the organism in Eukaryota, Metazoa, Arthropoda, Insecta, Lepidoptera, Tortricidae.
UCGAUUAGUGGACGGGUCUGAGGCAGGUAUCGCGCGGCGCCUUGUCUUACCGGUCAAACGACAACGAUCGAACGAAACGCCUCCAUAAUAACGAGCAAUAAUAGUAUUGUAUACGUAAAUAAACCAUGGUUAUGAUACUUUAAGAACUUACAGUGUCGUGUGUGUUACAAUUAAGCAGACACAAAUGAAACGACAAUGCAGACAGCAAGAGAGUCAAGCAGACAGCGACGGAGCAACAAACGGCGAAACUCCAGAAAGAAAUCUCUCUCACCGUCCGACCUAAAAUGCUACGAUAAGUCAGACAAUCGCUCCCUCUCCGAAGGCACGAAAGCCAAGCAUAGAAAAAGCAACAUAAGAAGGACUUUAACGCAUCCGUUCACCGGUGACCAGGAUGCGACGAUGAUAGGAGUGUUUAACCGUGAAGUGAAGGCCCCGGUGCCUGAGAGUGACGAGUCCAACAUCCCUCCGACGAGCAGCGACAGGGACACGGAGGAUGACGCGCGAGUGUUGAAGUCUGUGAUCAACCGGUCCCGAUGGGAUUCCGGGAGUGAGAUGGACUCGUUGGUGUCGACUGUAGUGAGGCGCGCCUCGGCCCGACGACGCAGGAUGCCAGCAAACCCAGAGUGGGGCGUCAGCAGCGAACCGGGCGAGGCGAGCGAGCCGGAGGCCGGUCGUAUGCGUCCCGAGGACUACCGCCUCGUGUUCCUCAGCUCCGACUCAUCGUGCCGCGAGGACACGGAGGACUCGUCGUCCACCGCUUCCUCCGCCGCGCCACUCGCGCCCGACGACUGCGACUGGGACUACUUUGAGCCGGGCGCGGCGGCAGCACCACCACCACCUCCCAGACACGUCCCGCAAGCCUGCCCCAGAACCUGCUCCUGCGGCGCUGAACCGAGAAUAGUUGCCGUUCCUGUCCCCGUGCCGGUCCCCGUACCUGCCGCCCUCUGGCCCGCUUUAUUAGCUUUCCCCCAAAACCCACCGACGCCACACUGGAACACCUACCCCGGCUUCCCGCCCCUCGAUGCGGCAGCCUUCGCCCGCCUCACGACGGCCGCCGCUGUCGCCGUCACCGCCGCCGCCACCGCCAACGCCAACGCUCUUCCCCAAACGAAAACGCUUGAAAUGACCACCGUAGAAAGGACCGAUAAAGCUAUACAGUCCGAAACGUCACAAACAGAAUCUCGCGAUAACGAUACCACUGAUAACGUUAUCAGUGAUAUCGGUAUUGAACGGCCAGUUGAAUGUGAAACGUCAGAUGAAAUAAAGGUGAUUGCAAAACAGGACUUAUCAGUAUUGUCGGAGGCCCCGGACGCGAUGCCCGAACAUUUGGACGCCGAGAAAGCGUUUAUAUCGUCAAACGAAUCGGGUGAUUCUAGUGAUUCUGACGCGGGUGUGGAAAGACGCAGCUAUGACCUGACAAGCGGGGCGCCGGAGGAGCCAGCCACCUCGGAUGAAGACUCGGACGACUCCGGGGGCGGCGGCGGGCAGUUCUCGAGAGUGUUCGUCGUCAACCCCGCCGACUCCUCCUCUGACAUGGAAGACAACGCCGACAGCAGCGGCAUCGACUGUGAUGAUUCCUACGACAAAAAGUCUGAUAGCUUAGAAAUUGCCGUUGAAGUGAUUAUGCAAAAUGAAGUCAUCAUUAAUGAAGAAAGCUAUAGCCAAAACCAGGACAACGUUGUGCUUUUAGAGUCAGUUAAGUUAAACGAAGAUAUUCCUGUUAUCCCAUAUGGAAGUGACAACGAUAACUGUGAAUCGAUAAAAUCUAAUUUUAUGAAAUUUUGUAAUGAAAAUAUGCUCCGCAGUGAAACCUGCGAGGAAUUUAAUAGCUUUAAUGCAUCGUGUAGUACGGAUUAUAACACUUUCGAUAGCAACGAAAAUAAAGAUAAUGAUAGCAAUAGAAGUAUUACUCCAUCAGAAAACAACGAGUGCGACUCGCUGGACGACGCGUUUACUACAGAAAGUGAUAUGAAAGUAAAAGUAUCCGCCGAGUUGCCUAAUGAGAAACAUAACAAUGAGGAAUGCAUUUCUAACGAAAUUUCGCACGGGUUGUUGACGAAAUUAGCGCCAUCGCCCGAGCCCGCGGCUAAUAACUUAAGUUUGCCGCCUGUUGAAAAAAUAGACCUGUUUAAAGGUAUCGAACGUACGCUCAGUGAACUAUUGAAGAAAGAAUUACUGGAAGAGCAAGAGGAGGGGAAAAUGCACGGCGUGGGGCCGGUUUGUUUAGAGGCGGGGGGCGCGGGCGCACCUGCCGCGGUCGCGGUGUCAACAGUUUGCCGCUCGCGCACGGCCGGUACGGACGGCUCCGCGCGCUUCACUAGCCGCGUUAUGAUAACACACGAUCGCGUCUCCGUCGUCACGUCGGAUACGACACGGCUCAUGCGCGACAUAACAGUGCACCACACCAACUCGGUGAACGAAACCAACCCUGACGCGAGCUCCCAGCAAAACGAUAAUGACGAACGAAUGUCCGACGACGAGGCGCCGCAGCCUUCGGGCGGCGUGACGGUUGUCAGCAACGCCGACACUCUCUCGGCCGUCGUGUGCCUCGAGGAGGGGCUCGCCGACGACGACUCUUGGGUCGAGGACGUCAGCCAUGACGAGGACGAGGUCACCUCGCCCUCCGACUCCGACUCAGAGGAUGAAGCGACCUUACCUACGCGGGGUGAAGAAUUUUCAUACUGUCGGCGUUCCUUAGACUUCACUUUACACACGAUUGUCGAAGAAAGCUGUGAAGAAAGUGAAUCGGAGCAUACAGUGAAAAAACCACGGCCCAUUUCGGCUACCGAGUUGGAAAAAUAUUUCUUUUUCGGCCUCGGCGAUGGUAGAAAUAUUCGAGACGAUGAGGAGCCUAUGUCGGAAACGUCAAGUGUGUGCAGUGAGGGUGCGGAGUCUAUCGUUGAUAAUGAGCAGCCGGAGAGAAGUGGAGACAAUGACGAGCUGGUAUCAUCACGGUUGGAAAAAUAUUUCUUGUCUGGAUUUAUGGGCUUCAAUCAGGAAAGGCGCGACUCAGAUGGCUCAGGUAGCGUUGGUAGUGAUAGUGAGGGAAGACAGAGUCCCGAACAAAGGCGGAAACGUCCUUUACGAGCCCGUGGUACCCCACGCUCACACUCAUCGUCAUUAGAUAACUUAUUGACUGGGGAAGAGCCAACGCAGGACGCGCAGGAAGUGUCAGAUGGAUCGAGCACCGAAACCGAUGAUCGACACGACUCUUCGGAGCGCCUCGAUUCACAAGGUGAAUCUAAAAGGAAAAAGCAAAGUAAAAAAACUAGAGGUUCCCCAGCAGACGAACGGCGCUUAUCAACUGAGUUCGCGGAGGAAACUCGAGACGACACUAGAUCUGUUUCGGAGGGUGAAGAUGGCAGGUUAACGCCCCGACCCGAAUUUCCGCCGCUUGGAUCUGAACUAUCUGAAUCUAAAAAACAAACAAGUCGAGAUAGCGGCUUCGUGGGCAGUUGUGAUGAUCUCUUGAGGAAUGGCGAUUCUAGUUCAGAUUUUACCCGAUCUCAGGAACCUAAAGUAGAAUUAGAGGAGAUUAUUGAGGAAAUAAGGCCCGACAUCGAGGAACGUGUCGAAGGUCCCCCAUCGUCCCGUCCCCCACCCACACCCCUAAUACGUAAGGAUAGCUUUAAUAACUGGUCGUCCGAUGAAGAGACAAACCUUAUGAUGACAAAAAUGCGCCAAUUCUUCAAGCAAAUGAUAAAUUCAGCGAACGUUCGCGCGUCAACACCGCAGUCAUCUAACUCGGAAAGUUCGCGCCCGCCAAAACCACCACAAUUAUUAUACUUUGAAAGCGAACUGACGCGACUUAUGAAAACUGUACCCGGUAUCCGGGAUGAGGAAGUGCGCGAAAUAGUCGAAUAUUUGUCAAGCGAAGACACCUGGAGCGAUUCUUAUGAUUCGUCCGAUUACGCCGGCUCAGAUUUAGAAGGGACCGCGGCGAAUCGUUCGGCCUUGAGAAAACAGAUAUCGGAGAGUUGCCGCGAGAUAAUUGACGAGUUCGAUCGUGGAAAUGGCGAGGAUGGUUCGCUGGAGCGCGACGCGGCUGGGGCGUACCAACGGCUGGCGGCGACGCUGGGCCGCGCGGGGGAGGGAUCGCCACCUCUCUUCGGGAAGGUGAUGCGACAUAUAGGGGGUAGGCUAGUGGCGUUAAUGCAUGAAGUGUCUGGUGGUGUGCCGAGUACGGACGAUGAUAGUGCGUCGGAGCCGGGAGCGUUGGCCCGGAGUCGUUCCCACGACAUCCUGGAACCCACGGCUAGUCGUGGAAGUGUCGCGAGUGAUAGUGAACGGUUUUCGUGGCGUGGUAGUUUCGAGUCCGCCUUGCUCGCUGCGGACUCGCGCGGGACUCUAGGAGGUGGUGUUGAAGCUAGGCGCUCGCCGGCGGGCGCUGAGCUGGCAGCCCAGAAGUCGCACUCGAGGAGUUGCGGUGCCAUCGGUGGUAGCGAGGACCGACUGUGGCGGGGCAGACGGCGGGCUUCUGCGCCUGACGCUGAGUCAGAAGAAGAACAGCGCGCCGGCUCUCUCCCCCGCCUACCCUCCAUCGCGGGCACCGCCAACGCGCCCGCCGGCCCCGUCAAGUCGGCGAGGUAUCGCGCACCGGGAUUCCGCACGGCGACGCGGGCGGCGUCAGCGCCGGGGCUGCACGCGCCGCGCCGACGCCGACCGCCGCCGGCGACGGUGCAGCCGUCGCCUGCUGCGCCUGCUUCCGCGCCUAGCUUGCAAGAUGAGACGUACAUAUCGGAGUCGGUGUCACCGGGCCACGCCACGCUGCCGCGGCGCUCCAACUCGCCGCUGCCGCACGAACGCGACCUCGAUCGGUUCUCGCUCAACAGGAGUGGCCUUCAGGGCCGCUCGGAAUCCAUGGCAUCGGUAUACUCGGGCGCAGGCGAGGGUAUGCGCGGCAACGUGACUGUUCGAGGAGACGUCCAGUUCUCUCUGUUGUACAACUACCGGCUCGGAUCGUUGGAGGUCGGAGUAAGGAGGUGCAGAGACCUCGCCCCUGUUGAUGUGAAGCGGAAUCGGUCGGAUCCUUAUGUUAAGGUGUACUUGUUACCGGACAAGUCCAAGACUGGCAAACGGAAGACGAAGGUGAAGAAGAACACGCUCAACCCGAUAUUUGAGGAGACGCUGAGCUUCGUGCAGCCGCUGGCCUCGCUGUCUUCACGGACACUGUGGCUCAGCGUGUGGCACGCCGACAUGUUCGGCCGGAACGACUUCCUCGGCGAGGUGACGCUGCCGCUGGCCGACGUCGUGUUCGACGACCCCGCGCCCAUGUGGUACAAGUUACACGAGCGGACGGAACAGUUCGAUGAGCAACAAGGCACGCGCGGAGACCUGAUCAUAGGACUGAAGUACGAGCUGUCGGAGACCGGGCCGCGCGCUAAAGGAACCCUUCACGUGCUGGUUAAGGAAGCCAAGAACGUCGUCGCCACCAAGCCGAACGGGCUGGCUGAUGUAUUUUGCAAGAGCUACCUCCUCCCCGAGCGCGGCCGGCUCGCGAAGCAGAAGACGGGCGUGUGUCGCCGCACGCUGAGCCCGCGCUGGGAGCACACCUUCACGUACCGCGGCCUCGCGCCCCGCGAGCUCGCCGCGCGCGCGCUCGAGCUCAGUCUGUGGGACCGCGACCGGCUCGCCUCCAACGACUUCAUGGGGGCCGUCAGACUGUCGCUAGGGACUGGUACGUAUCCGUGAUUACACGUACUCACGUCGGCCGGUGGACACUUAACCCCUGUUGAGAGCACACCUUCACGUACCGCGGCCUCGCGCCCCGCGAGCUCGCCGCGCGCGCGCUCGAGCUCAGUCUGUGGGACCGCGACCGGCUCGCCUCCAACGACUUCAUGGGGGCCGUCAGACUGUCGCUAGGGACUGGAACAUACAUGGGAGCCAACGUAAACUGGAUGGACAGUGUAGGCAAAGAAGUAUCCCUGUGGCAAGACAUGAUGCAGAACCCAAACAUCUGGGUCGAACGCUCGCUUCCCCUCCGACCACAACUCAACAAUUAAAACAAUAGCGUACCUACACCGCACAAGGCAGAUGCCUUUAACUCCCUGCCUAAUAUUUAUACAUAAAUUUGUACCUAAAUAUAUAGGUAAAAAUUUCAAACAUUAUUUCAGUGUAAUUUUAGUACCUAAUGAAAAUCGAAUGAAUCAAUUGGGACCAAAAUCAUGUCUUCUAUUUUUGAAUGCCUUUUUACCGACUUUACAUUUUUCCUUUAUAGGGUUACCUAGGCUAACAUCUUACUAAAGACCAAUGUGCCAAUCGUGUAAAAUGUUAUUUAUACAUUUAAUCCACCUACCUACCUAGUAAUAUUGUCUUUCUGUACUUCUUUUAUAUACUUAUUAGCUACCCUAAAGGUGUGUAUCUAUUAUUUAGUGAUGAAUACUCUACAAAUACUUUAUAAUGUAUCUAUUUACUAAUCGAUUACAUUCCAACUUUGUGAUGAAUACUUUUAUAAUUUUAUAAGCGUGAGACUUUGAUGACAAUAAUAUUAAUUUCGACUAGUAACUGCCUGCUAGUAAAUACGGUGAAACAUUAAAUACGUUAAUGCAUUUAAAAAUAGGUCUAUAUAUUAAGUUUAAUGUACAAAUUAAGUUCACAUGAGUUUCUAAGUAUCUGCUCAUGCAUAUUGUGAUUUAAUUAUACAUUUUGGAGAAUGUUGAAAAUAGUGUUGAAGUGUGAAUGUGUGUGAAAUGUUAAAAAAAUGUGAAUAAUGACAAAUAACUUGUCUACUUAAUACUUAACGAUAUGGAGACGUCCAUAGUAUAUAAAAUAGCCUUAGUUUGCCUACUUAACGACGAUACAGAGUACUGUAGGUCCCGGUUUAUUUAAUAACUAUUUUUGUAUUAAUAUUGUCGAUGUGAAAAGCGAUAUAAAAUAAACAUUGAAUCAAG